UACGGAGGAUGCGAGCGUUAUCCGGAUUUAUUGGGCGUAAAGGGUGCGCAGGCGGCACGGCAAGCCGGCGGUCAAAUCGCGGGGCUCAACCCCGCCCAGCCGUCGGAACUGCCGGGCUAGAGUGGGCGAGAAGUGCGCGGAAUGCGUGGUGUAGCGGUGAAAUGCAUAGAUAUCACGCAGAACUCCGAUUGCGAAGGCAGCGCACCGGCGCCCUACUGACGCUCAGGCACGAAAGCGUGGGUAUCGAACAGG
Molecule: ribosomal RNA, 252 nt
Filed under: uncultured bacterium
Lineage: Bacteria
Description: partial 16S ribosomal RNA
Rfam family: Bacterial small subunit ribosomal RNA
Source: RNAcentral